Long non-coding RNA from Conger conger (European conger), 1006 nucleotides. RefSeq lists it as uncharacterized. NCBI's taxonomy places the organism in Eukaryota, Metazoa, Chordata, Actinopteri, Anguilliformes, Congridae. The transcript has 5 exons. The record is from RefSeq and is a predicted model, not a curated record.
GAAGAAUGUCAUGACAAAAUGUUUUCAAAUAAAUCUUCUUCGCAAUUCUGCAAACCACACGCAGAUUGCCAAUCCUUGGGACUUCAGGAAAUUACAGCUGGAACAAACACAUCAGACAGUGUAUGUGGAACAAGAAAUUAUCGUGUUGCUGUGCUUGUGCCUGUGGCGCCUGUAGUAGUACUAUCAACUGUCAUAGGAAUUUUCAUUUCAAGAAAGAGAAAGAAGAGAAAACAAAAUGGAGGGAUAGAACAGCCACAGGAUGAAGAUAAGAGAACGCAGAACAUGGAAACAGAAAAUGAAAACAUGUCAAACCUGCUGCAGGAUGAAGACUGCUUGAUGAUGGCUUGAUGAGGGAAACGAUGAAGCUGAUAUUAGAUGUCACAUGACUGCCCCUACUACAGUCUGUAUGGACGUGUUAUAACGGGUUAAAGCCCUUUUGAUUCUGUUUAUGAACAUAUUUUCAUUGUCAAUUUUCAGUCACUUGAUGCCGCCUUACUAGCUGGAGGAGAAGCAAUUGACACAAAUGCUAGUCAAUGGAAUCAUUAUAUAUUAGACCUGCAUGACCUGAAAGAGACAAUCUUGUAGCAGUCAGAGAUUUAAAAAAACGUGUAGGAUAAAUAAAUAUACAAUCCUGGCCUUGUGGUGCUGGGUAUGAGUGAAAAGUCAUAAAAUCAGACCUCUUCACAUCCUACCAACUUGGUGUUGAGCUCCAAAAGAGGAAGCUGACAAUGCUCAGAACAGUGAUAAAUCAGCCAGAACUCCCCAAACAGCUUCUGAAUACACAAGUCAGAGCUGUGAAUUCCUCCAAAUCUGCAUUCUCUGAAAGUACCACUAUCCUGGUCCUUGUUUUGAGCACAAUAAAUAAAGAUGCAUCUCUGAGCACAAGACUGGAUAAAAAGGUGCAAAUCAUCUUGAACUACAGCUAAGAAAAGGAGAGGUUGACAUCCAUGAUAAGGCACCCAAAUUAACUUCAUUUAAGUGCUUGUGACUGCUACACAGAACCGAU